GGGGGCGACACGGCUUCGACGUGGGUCGCGAAACCUCCGGAGCAUGCCGAGGUGCAGAGUUCCUCGUAAAACCAGCUGCAAACCAAUAGUUGCCAACGACGACAACUACGCCUUAGCGGCUUAAUCCCCGCUAACCUCUCACCCGCGUUUCGCCUGUGGGCCGGACUGAGAGGUCGAUCACACAGGAUCGCGUAGCCCCGUGCCUGUUGGGUCUGCGCUAAAUCGAAGCAGGCUAAACCUGUCGACACCCUGUCUGUUGGGAGACGGCAGGCGAAAACGAUAACAGACUACGCAUGUAGAACCGGACGGCGGAGGACUUGCGGACGCGGGUUCGAUUCCCGCCGCCUCCACCA
Molecule: transfer-messenger RNA, 353 nt
Filed under: Gammaproteobacteria bacterium
Lineage: Bacteria; Pseudomonadati; Pseudomonadota; Gammaproteobacteria
Rfam family: transfer-messenger RNA
About the family: Bacterial tmRNA, also known as 10Sa RNA or SsrA, is named for its dual tRNA and mRNA-like properties. Its role is to liberate the mRNA from a stalled ribosome. To accomplish this part of the tmRNA is used as a reading frame that ends in a translation stop signal.
Source: RNAcentral